CUGGUCCCUGCCCAUCAAAGCUGAUGCUGAGGUGUGGUCCCAUGGCAGUAGUGUGUUGAGCUGUCAUGGGAGUUUGGCUCCGUAUCCUCCCUUCUUUCCAUGUCCCCUUGUCCUUCUGUUUUCCACCGUACAGUGAAGCACCAUGGGUCCUUAUCAGACAUGGCCUCCUGACCUUGAGCUUUUCGGGAUCCCAAACUCUGUUCCCAAAUAUACCUAUGCUCUUUAUAAAUUACCCAGCCCCAUGAGUUCUGUUACAACAACAGAAAGUGGACUAUCACAUGCGGUCAAAUGAUGCAAACAGUAUCCUUCGCCUGCACGAAGGAAGCAAAUCACUUGGGGAAUGACAAAAGAGAGUUCUCUUGACCCAUCGGAGAAGGCUCAGUUGAGGUUUUCUGGAAGAAGAGCUGUGUGGAGACAGCUGAACUUUACAGAUGCCCAUGCCCAAAGCAAGAGUGAUGCAGAGAAGACUCUGUGAGACAGAUGGGACAACCCCUCUCAUUGGACCUCUGGUCCAUGAUGACAGAAACUCACAAGUCUAUUACAGUUGUACAUUAAAAAAAGAAGACGAGAAAGCUGGGCUCGGUGGCUUAUUCCUGUAACUCCAGCACUUGAGAUGUUAAGACAGGAAGACAGCUGUGAGGUUCAGGCCAGCCUGGAUUAUACAGCAAGACAAGUCUCAAAGAAGUUACUGUCCGGUGCUUCAGUCCUGAGACUCACUGUUGUUGAAACUUGAGAAGAAACAGCACCAUGCUUCUAGCCAUGAAUAUUAGCAUGGCUCAUGCAAUAAGGCCUGUUCAUCUUUAUUUCCAUUUUGAUCAUGUGACCUUCCCUUCUGUUAUCUGGCUGGAACCGCAGCACCAAUGCCUGGGAGCAGCAAACGCAACAAGAGUCACCAAACAGCAGAGAAGACCUGGGAGGCCUCUUAUAGCAUCAUUUCCAUCUUUCAGAUGAGGGGACAAGGGGACAGACGGCAUAAAACCUCAUGCUUCCAGUCUAGAGCUCUUUUUACCAGUCCUUGUCUCGAGGCAGGAUCUGAUGUGGGGUGUGUUGCGAAGGAAGUCCGACGGGCCAGGUGACCACGAGUCCUGCCUUCAUGCUCUAACUGCAGUGGUUCAGCACUAUUCCCAUAUGGACAAAUACAAUAGCUGGGAUAUUACUGUUAUGACACACACUCUCAGACCA
Peromyscus maniculatus bairdii (prairie deer mouse) is the source of this 1182-nucleotide long non-coding RNA. RefSeq lists it as uncharacterized. The record is from RefSeq and is a predicted model, not a curated record. NCBI's taxonomy places the organism in Eukaryota, Metazoa, Chordata, Mammalia, Rodentia, Cricetidae.